GUGCUUGCAGGUGCAGCACCACCAAGAUUCACAUCCAACUCUCACGCAUCUUCAGUGAUGCAUGCAUGCUCUGUGAUGUCUCGCAGCAGCUAUAUGCAUAUGUGAUGAGAUGAGAAUCUUGAUGAUGCUGCAUCAGCAGACAC
Non-coding RNA from Zea mays, 143 nucleotides. Lineage: Eukaryota; Viridiplantae; Streptophyta; Magnoliopsida; Poales; Poaceae. The record is from Rfam.